CCGACAGUUUCUCCGGCUGGUGCCAAAAAUGACAUUCUUUGGCAGGGCACAGGGCUGCUGUAAAGCACUACUCAGGAACACAAUGUUCGGGACGCUGGAUGCAGCAAAGAAGCACUCUUAGAUUAAACAAGACCAAUGUGAUAACUGCUGAGCUCUUAUGGAAAACAACACAGUCGAAGCAUUACUACUGUUGAAAUAUUACUGUAACAUUACAGGAACAGUCACUUAGUGAAGUUGUCCUCUUUUUUGGUCCACUUUGCCGAGUGAUUGAUUGACACUUCCUCCAGCCAAUAGGCCACUCAAUCUCCUGGCUGUGGUCCUGGCCCAACAGAGGGGAGAUGAGAGUUAUUCUGCCUGCAAUGCCAAGGGUAAUGAGAACAACGCCACCACUGUAUCUGGCUUCCCGGGGUCUGUGCCAGUCUACGGGCCUCUCUCUCCAUCCAUGGCCGAGCUCCCCUCACCCUCAGUCAGCCACGGAUGGAGAUGGUAGUAGGGCUAGGAUAGAGGAUGGAGAUGGUAGUAGGGCUGGGUUAGAGGAUGGAGACGGUAGUAUGGCUGUGUAUGGUAGUAUGGCUGGGAUAGAGGAUGGAGAUGGUAGUAUGGCUGGGAUAGAGGAUGGAGAUGGUAGUAGGGCUGGGAUAGAGGAUGGAGAUGGUAGUAUGGCUGGGUUAGAGGAUUGAGAUGGUAGUAUGGCUGUGUGUGGUAGGGCCGGGAUAGAGAAUGGAGAUGGCAGUAUGGCUGUGUGGUAGGGCUGGGAUAGAGGAUGGAGAUGGUAGUAUGGCUGGGAUAGAGGAUGGAGAUGGUAGUAUGGCUGGGUUAGAGGAUGGAGAUGGUAGUAUGGCUGGGAUAGAGGAUGGAGAUGGUAGUAUGGCUGGGAUAGAGGAUGGAGAUGGUAGUAUGGCUGGGAUAGAGGAUGGAGAUGGUAGUAGGGCUGGGAUAGAGGAUGGAGAUGGUAGUAUGGCUGGGUUAGAGGAUUGAGAUGGUAGUAUGGCUGUGUGUAGUAGGGCUGGGAUAGAGAAUGGAGAUGGUGGUAUGGCUGUGUGUGGUAGGGCUGGGAUAGAGGAUGGAGAUGGUAGUAUGGCUGUGUGUGGUAGGGCUGGGAUAGAGGAUGGAGAUGGUGGUAUGGCUGUGUGUGGUAGGGCAGGGAUAGAGGAUGGAGAUGGUAGUAUGGCUGGGAUAGAGGAUGGAGAUGGUAGUAUGGCUGUGUGUGGUAGGGCUGGGAUA
Long non-coding RNA from Oncorhynchus tshawytscha (Chinook salmon), 1224 nucleotides. NCBI's taxonomy places the organism in Eukaryota, Metazoa, Chordata, Actinopteri, Salmoniformes, Salmonidae. The record is from Ensembl.